This 1341-nucleotide unclassified non-coding RNA is filed under the name Ooceraea biroi (clonal raider ant). RNAcentral's name for it is "annexin B9, transcript variant X5". Lineage: Eukaryota; Metazoa; Arthropoda; Insecta; Hymenoptera; Formicidae. The record is from RNAcentral.
AUGUUUUCAGAUAUAAUCAGCAAAAUGGCAGCAAGUCAAUAUUACCAUGUACAGUGCACACCCACCGUGUAUCCGGCCGAUCCCUUCGAUCCGGAAGCCGACGCGAAUCUUUUGCGAACGGCGAUGAAGGGUUUCGGGACUGACGAGCAGGCCAUCAUCGACGUUCUGGCUCAUCGAGGCAUCGUGCAGCGACUGGAAAUCGCCGAUAAAUUUAAGACUAUGUUCGGCAAGGAUCUCAUUUCCGAGCUGAAGUCCGAAUUGACCGGCAACUUUGAAAGAGUCAUCGUCGCUCUGAUGACGCCUCUUCCCGAGUAUUACGCCAAAGAGCUGCACGACGCAGUUUCCGGCAUGGGCACCGACGAAGGCGCACUCAUCGAAGUUCUUGCGUCUUUGAGCAACUACGGCAUCAAGACAAUCUCGGCCGUCUACAAAGAUCUGUAUGACAAGGACCUGGAAGACGCAAUUAAGGGCGACACUUCCGGUCACUUCAAGAGGCUCUUGGUAUCGUUGUCCUGUGCCAGCAGAAACGAGAACACCGACGUGGACGAGGAGGCCGCGGUUCAGGAGGCUGAGAGACUUCUCGCCGCGGGCGAAGGACAAUGGGGCACGGAUGAGAGCACCUUCAACGCGAUUCUCAUCACCAAGAGCUACCCGCAAUUGCGAAGGAUCUUCAAGGAAUAUGAACGCAUCGCUGGCCAUAGCUUGGAAGACGCUAUCAAGCGAGAAUUCUCCGGUUCUCUUGAGGACGGCUACCUAGCUGUGGUGAGAUGCGGCCGCGACAAGACUGCUUACUUCGCGCAAAGGCUGUACAAAGCUAUGCGCGGAUUCGGCACGACCGACUCGACAUUAAUUCGCAUAAUUGUGACGCGAUCGGAAAUCGAUCUGGGUGACAUUAAGGAAGCUUAUGAGAGACUGUACGGGAAAUCCCUUGCAGAAGCUAUCGAUGAUGACUGUUCAGGCGACUACAAGAGACUCUUGCUUGCCCUUCUGGGAUGAAAAUAUUUCGAUCGUGCAACAGCUUCUUUUUAGCGAGAAUAAAUAUCUUAAAGUCGCGGAGAUUAUAUCACAAGAAUAUGUUUUGUUACAUCCUGCAAAUACCUGAUUAAAUCAGUUCCUUAUACUUUUGCCGAUCGUUAGUGAACGAUUGCUCGGCUGAGUGGAAAAGAUUAUUGAUAGCAAUGUUGAAUUAAAGAGUAGCUAAGUGUGCGAAUUGUAAGGAUGGAGGUUGGAAAUGAUAUUUUCGUACCGUGUGAAUAUGUAAUCAACAUCUUUUUUUAUAUACAUGAUUUGUACAUGUAACAUUUAUAUGAGAAAGUAAAAAAUAAAAUAUAGUAUAAUAAA